GUCCUCUUGGAAAAAUUGAGAGGUCUGUCCUGCCCGCUGAGUGAAUUUUGAAGGGCCGCGGUAUUAUGACCGUGCGAAGGUAGCAUAGUCAAUAGUCUCUUAAUUGGAGGCUGGAAUGAACGGUUGGACGGGAAGAAGACUGUCUCGCUCGUUAAGGUGAAUUUGACUUUUGUGUGAAAAGGCAUAAAUAAUUUGGGGGGACGAUAAGACCCUAUAAAACUUGAUAAUUUGAUUGGUUAUAUGAAUUGUGUAUGAUAUGUGUUUGGGUAAAGUUAUUUUGCUGGGGAGGCAGGGAUAAAAAUUUAUUAACUGUUUUAUAAUAAGAAUAAUAGAUUAUUAGAUGGUGACCCCUAAUUUAGGUUUAAAAGUUUAAGUUACUUUAGGGAUAACAGCGUAAUUUCUCUUGAGAGUUCAUAUCGACAGAGAUAGUUGCGACCUCGAUGUUGAAUUAAAACUUCCGGCAGGAGUAGAGGUUUGCUGGGUAGGUCUGUUCGACCUUUAAAGUUUUACAUGAUUUGAGUUCAAACCGGUGUGAG
RNAcentral lists this ribosomal RNA (536 nucleotides) under Leptalpheus denticulatus. RNAcentral describes it as "partial large subunit ribosomal RNA". It matches the Rfam family "Bacterial large subunit ribosomal RNA", at positions 1819 to 2625 of the family's 2925-position model. The record is from RNAcentral. Lineage: Eukaryota; Metazoa; Arthropoda; Malacostraca; Decapoda; Alpheidae.